GUGUUCCUCUAGGGAGCACAUAUACUAAAUUGGAAUAAUAUAGAGAAGAUUAGCAUGACCCCUGUGCAAAGGUAACACACAAAUUUAUGAAAUAGUACAUUAAAAA
Small nuclear RNA from Suricata suricatta (meerkat), 106 nucleotides. Lineage: Eukaryota; Metazoa; Chordata; Mammalia; Carnivora; Herpestidae. The record is from Ensembl.